This is a small nucleolar RNA of Nothoprocta perdicaria, 71 nucleotides long. Its record names the gene SNORD63. It matches the Rfam family "Small nucleolar RNA SNORD63". Rfam says of the family: snoRNA U63 is found in both humans and mice. U63 is a member of the C/D class of snoRNA which contain C (UGAUGA) and D (CUGA) box motifs. Lineage: Eukaryota; Metazoa; Chordata; Aves; Tinamiformes; Tinamidae. The record is from Ensembl.
GUGCUGUGAUGUAACUGUCAACACAUCAUUCUGAAAGGGAAUUGUGUGGAGACCUCUUCCAACUGAGCACC